CAAUAGCGUAUAUUAAAGCUGUUGCGGUUAAAAAGCUCGUAGUUGGAUUUCUGUCAAGGACAACUGGUCCGCCCUCCGGGUGAGCACAUAGUUUGGUCUUGGCAUCUUGCUGGAAGCUGUUGCUGCACUUGGCUGUGUGGCGCAGCGUCCAGCACUUUCACUUUGAGGAAAUUGGAGUGUUUCAAGCAGGCACAUGCCUUUGGACACAGUAGCAUGGAAUAAUUAGAUUGGGCUUUUGCUCCAAUUCGUCGGUUUCUGGAGCUGAGGUGAGAAUUAAUGGGGAUUGUUGGGGGCAUCCGAAUUUAGCCGUCAGAGGUGAAAUUCUUGGAUCUGCUAAAGACGGACAACUGCGAAAGCGUUUGCCCAGGAUGUUUUCAUUGA
This 381-nucleotide ribosomal RNA is filed under the name uncultured eukaryote. RNAcentral's name for it is "partial 18S ribosomal RNA". It matches the Rfam family "Eukaryotic small subunit ribosomal RNA", at positions 592 to 976 of the family's 1831-position model. The record is from RNAcentral.